GACGAACGCUGGCGGCGUGCUUAACACAUGCAAGUCGAACGGAAAGGCCCUGCUUUUGUGGGGUGCUCGAGUGGCGAACGGGUGAGUAACACGUGAGUAACCUGCCCUUGACUUUGGGAUAACUUCAGGAAACUGGGGCUAAUACCGGAUAGGAGCUCCUGCUGCAUGGUGGGGGUUGGAAAGUUUCGGCGGUUGGGGAUGGACUCGCGGCUUAUCAGCUUGUUGGUGGGGUAGUGGCUUACCAAGGCUUUGACGGGUAGCCGGCCUGAGAGGGUGACCGGCCACAUGGGGACUGAGAUACGGCGCAGAAGCCUACGGGAGGCAGCAGUGGAGAAUAUUGCACAAUGGGCGGAAGCCUGAGGCAGAAACGCCGCGUGCGGGAUGACGGCCUUCGGGUUGUAAACCGCUUUCGCCUGUGACGAAGCGUGAGUGACGGUAAUGGGUAAAGAAGCACCGGCUAACUACGUG
Molecule: ribosomal RNA, 468 nt
Filed under: uncultured bacterium
Lineage: Bacteria
Description: partial 16S ribosomal RNA
Rfam family: Bacterial small subunit ribosomal RNA
Source: RNAcentral